RNAcentral lists this ribosomal RNA (324 nucleotides) under Cercomonadidae sp. RNAcentral's name for it is "SSU rRNA". The stretch from base 107 to 324 matches the Rfam family "Eukaryotic small subunit ribosomal RNA", at positions 737 to 955 of the family's 1831-position model. The record is from RNAcentral. Lineage: Eukaryota; Cercozoa; Cercomonadida; Cercomonadidae.
GAUUUCUGGUUCGGCGCACUUGGCCCGCCUCGGUUUACGGGGUCGCGUGCCGGUGUGCGCCAUCCAUCCUUCGGAACAUCGUAUCUACCCUUCACUGGGCCGGAUGCGUUAUUCCGAUCUUUUACUUUGAAAAAAUUAGAGUGUUUAAAGCAGGCUUAUCGCUAUGAAUACAUUAGCAUGGAAUAAUAAUUUAGGACUUCGGUUCUAUUUUGUUGGUUUCUAGGACUGAAGUAAUGAUUGAUAGGGAUAGUUGGGGGUGCUAGUAUUCAGCGGCCAGAGGUGAAAUUCUCGGAUUCGCUGAAGACUAACUUAUGCGAAAGCAUU